UACGAAGGGGGCUAGCGUUGUUCGGAAUCACUGGGCGUAAAGCGCACGUAGGCGGAUCUUUUAAGUCAGAGGUGAAAUCCCAAGGCUCAACCUUGGAACUGCCUUUGAUACUGGGGAUCUUGAGUCCGGGAGAGGUGAGUGGAACUGCGAGUGUAGAGGUGAAAUUCGUAGAUAUUCGCAAGAACACCAGUGGCGAAGGCGGCUCACUGGCCCGGUACUGACGCUGAGGUGCGAAAGCGUGGGGGAGCAAACAGG
RNAcentral lists this ribosomal RNA (255 nucleotides) under uncultured bacterium. Its description in RNAcentral is "partial 16S ribosomal RNA". It matches the Rfam family "Bacterial small subunit ribosomal RNA", at positions 524 to 776 of the family's 1533-position model. The record is from RNAcentral.